RNAcentral lists this ribosomal RNA (924 nucleotides) under uncultured organism. Its description in RNAcentral is "bacterial SSU rRNA". It matches the Rfam family "Bacterial small subunit ribosomal RNA", at positions 1 to 917 of the family's 1533-position model. The record is from RNAcentral.
UGGAUCCAGACUUUGAUCAUGGCUCAGGAUGAACGCUAGCUACAGGCUUAACACAUGCAAGUCGAGGGGCAGCGGGAUUGAAGCUUGCUUCAAUUGCCGGCGACCGGCGCACGGGUGAGUAACGCGUAUCCAACCUUCCGUACACUCAGGGAUAGCCUUUCGAAAGAAAGAUUAAUACCUGAUAGUAUCUUAAGCACACAUGUAAUUAAGAUUAAAGAUUUAUCGGUGUACGAUGGGGAUGCGUUCCAUUAGGUAGUAGGCGGGGUAACGGCCCACCUAGCCGACGAUGGAUAGGGGUUCUGAGAGGAAGGUCCCCCACAUUGGAACUGAGACACGGUCCAAACUCCUACGGGAGGCAGCAGUGAGGAAUAUUGGUCAAUGGACGAGAGUCUGAACCAGCCAAGUAGCGUGAAGGAUGAAGGUCCUACGGAUUGUAAACUUCUUUUAUAAGGGAAUAAACCCUCCCACGUGUGGGAGCCUGUAUGUACCUUAUGAAUAAGCAUCGGCUAACUCCGUGCCAGCAGCCGCGGUAAUACGGAGGAUGCGAGCGUUAUCCGGAUUUAUUGGGUUUAAAGGGAGCGCAGACGGGUCGUUAAGUCAGCUGUGAAAGUUUGGGGCUCAACCUUAAAAUUGCAGUUGAUACUGGCGUCCUUGAGUGCGGUUGAGGUGUGCGGAAUUCGUGGUGUAGCGGUGAAAUGCUUAGAUAUCACGAAGAACUCCGAUUGCGAAGGCAGCACACUAAUCCGUAACUGACGUUCAUGCUCGAAAGUGUGGGUAUCAAACAGGAUUAGAUACCCUGGUAGUCCACACGGUAAACGAUGGAUACUCGCUGUUGGCGAUAUACUGUCAGCGGCUUAGCGAAAGCGUUAAGUAUCCCACCUGGGGAGUACGCCGGCAACGGUGCAACUCAAAGGAAUUGACGGA